GGGGAACUUGAGUGCAGAAGAGGAGAGUGGAAUUCACGUGUAGCUGUGAAAUGCGUAGAGAUGUGGAGGAACACCAGUGGCGAAGGCGACUCUCUAGUUCUGUAACUGACGCUGAGGCGCGAAAGCCUGGGGAGCGAACAGGCAUUAGAUACCGUGGUAGUCCACGCCGUACAACGAUGAGUGCUAAGUGUUAGAGGGUUUCCGCCCCUUAGUGCUGCAGCAAACGCAUUAAGCACUCCGCCUGGGGAGUACGGUCGCAAGACUGAAACUCAAAGGAAUUGACGGGGGCCCGCACAAGCGGUGGAGCAUGUGGUUUAAUUUGAAGCAACGCGAAGAACCUUACCAGGUCUUGACAUCCUCUGACAACCCUAGAGAUAGGGCUUCCCCUUCGGGGGCAGAGUGACAGGUGGUGCAUGGUUGUCGUCAGCUCGUGUCGUGAGAUGUUGGGUUAAGUCCCGCAACGAGCGCAACCCUUGAUCUUAGUUGCCAGCAUUCAGUUGGGCACUCUAAGGUGACUGCCGGUGACAAACCGGAGGAAGGUGGGGAUGACGUCAAAUCAUCAUGCCCCUUAUGACCUGGGCUACACACGUGCUACAAUGGGCAGAACAAAGGGCAGCGAAGCCGCGAGGCUAAGCCAAUCCCACAAAUCUGUUCUCAGUUCGGAUCGCAGUCUGCAACUCGACUGCGUGAAGCUGGAAUCGCUAGUAAUCGCGGAUCAGCAUGCCGCGGUGAAUACGUUCCCGGGCCUUGUACACACCGCCCGUCACACCACGAGAGUUUGUAACACCCGAAGUCGGUGAGGUAACCUUUUGGAGCCAGCCGCCGAAGGUGGGACAGAUGAUUGGGGUGAAGUC
RNAcentral lists this ribosomal RNA (854 nucleotides) under Bacillus sp. NAULH4. RNAcentral's name for it is "bacterial SSU rRNA". It matches the Rfam family "Bacterial small subunit ribosomal RNA", at positions 635 to 1487 of the family's 1533-position model. Lineage: Bacteria; Bacillati; Bacillota; Bacilli; Caryophanales; Bacillaceae. The record is from RNAcentral.